UGGUACAAACUAACAGUUUUCAAUUGAUUUUUUUAUAAGCUGAUUCGUGGACAUGGCUUGGAAGGUCAUACACAGAUCCUUUUGUGUAGCUAGCAGCAGUGCUUGUUGAAGAUGUUGCCAUCACCAGCUGGAAACAACUGCCAGUACCACUCUUGUUGGAAGGGGAGUGCAGGAAUCAUGCAUCUUACUGGGAUCUUUACAAGACAUUCUAGAAUGGAAAGGCAAGAAACAGAAGCAAAAGAGUCUGCACUGCUGGCAAAGAUGACCGUUUUUAUACUCUGUACCUUCCAGGUGCCCCAAAUACUGUCUGAGAAGAGCAGCACAUGCAGUGACCGGACAAGU
Molecule: long non-coding RNA, 342 nt
Organism: Dromaius novaehollandiae (emu)
Lineage: Eukaryota; Metazoa; Chordata; Aves; Casuariiformes; Dromaiidae
Exons: 3
Source: RefSeq, a predicted model, not a curated record